GAACACAUAAGAACCCAAGAACAGAGAGUGUGACAUCUCCCAGGGUGCAAUCAAGACUGUAGGACAGCUGUGCCCUCUUAUUUCUGCAGUCUGGUGUGUACUAUGCCCUGCUUUGCUGUAUGAGCUGACACACUGCCACCCACCCCAGCCUCCAGCAUGCAAGUCAUCCCCAGAUGCUGGAAGAUCCAUGCUGUGUCAUGGCGUUGGGCAGCCUCCAUAGCAUAUGUGAGCUGCUGACCAUCCUUCAGCAAUGAAUUCCUGCACACUAGCUUGGAAACAAGAUGCCAUUUAUACAACAUCAGGCUUUCCAAAAUCAUCUUCAUAUUUUCUGAACAGUUUUGCUCCAACUGGAAGAGCAUGUACUACAUCAACGAAAGGAAAGGCAGUGAGAAAAGCCAGAAUGGAAGUGGGGGCUGGGAGGGGGAGAAGAUGACAAAACCAAGCAUAUCCAGCUUGUGCACUCUCCUACCAUGAAGCAAUUUUUACUAAAUCUGGUGACACUGAAUUGAAGGAAACUGAGCCUUGGAAAAAGAAACAGAUCAUAUCAAAGUCCAUACCACAACUGUUUGCCUAAUACAGUAAGAUGCAAUUUAGAACCGUAAGAUGGAAUUUCUCCUCUGUAUUUAAGAGAAUCUCAUUAAAUAUCAAGAUUUCAUGAGACUGCUGCUUCAGGGAAGCCACCACUGGCCAUAAGACCAACAUUCUUCCCAAUAGCUGCAUAAUGCUGUAAUGGAAGGAAAAUAUGCAGUAUGGAACAUGCUGACUUUAAUGGAAAAUAGUUAUUUGAAGCAAUUUUCAUAAUAACUUAGAAAAACAGGCCCAGAAUGAUGAUGAAUGUGCCACUAAGGAGGCUGUAAUGUCCCUAACAGCCAUAAGCCAAUCUGCGGUAGUGUCUCUAGCAAAAGAGUAUACGGGUAGCAGCUGUGCAUACACUGGGGCUGCACUCAUACCUUCACUGGCUUUCUGCCUCUUUCCCCCCCCCCCAUCUCUUAAUUCAUAUUCCUUGUUCUCCUUUUCAUCGCUCUACACAUCACUGCAUCAACUCAGUCCUCACUUCUCCCUAUUCCCAUUCCUGGUGGCUACUCUUAGUUCACCCCCCUCGGUACUUAUUCUCUCGUUUUCACACUGGUGCCGUUGUGCCUCCUCUCCUUGGAACACCACCUCUGUGCCAAGCAACAUCAUUCUCUUCUCUCACCUACCCCCAAAAACUCACUUCUUUUGAUUAGCUUUCUACUACCGACCGCCACUUGCUACAGAUUACCACAAUUACACCUCCUGUUCUCACUCUGACCAUAUGAUCUUGGGAGGGUGAGGGGAACACAGGAACCUACCAAGAGACAUCCAGAAUUGAACAGCUCUCCUGAUCUAACCCACCCUCACUCUCUGGUACUAUGUUAUAUACAAUUCAGAUUGUCAAGGGGAAAUGUUCAAAGGCACAAAUAGGAGUUACGUGCCCAACUCCUAUUGACUUUCUGUGGGAGUGGGGGAUUAACUGUCCUUUGAAAAUCAACCCAUAAACUGCUUCAGACUGGGAACUUUCUUACUGUAUGCCUAUAAGGAGCACAUACACAUCUAUGGUGCUUUAUGAAGAAUAGAUAGUA
Mauremys mutica (yellowpond turtle) is the source of this 1601-nucleotide long non-coding RNA. RefSeq lists it as uncharacterized. The transcript is spliced from 3 exons. The record is from RefSeq and is a predicted model, not a curated record. Lineage: Eukaryota; Metazoa; Chordata; Testudines; Geoemydidae.